UUUCCGUAGGUGAACCUGCGGAAGGAUCAUUACUGUGGGCCUUCUUCGGAAGCCCGCAAGAUAGCACCCUUUGCCUUUUUGAGUACCUUUGUUUCCUCGGCAGGCUCGCCUGCCAACGGGGACCUAUACAACCCUUUGCAGUAGUAUAACAAACGUCUGAUACACUUUAAUUAUCACAACUUUCAACAAUGGAUCUCUUGGUUCUGGCAUCGAUGAAGAACGCAGC
RNAcentral lists this unclassified non-coding RNA (226 nucleotides) under uncultured fungus. RNAcentral describes it as "sequence contains ITS1, 5.8S rRNA gene". The stretch from base 178 to 226 matches the Rfam family "5.8S ribosomal RNA", at positions 1 to 49 of the family's 154-position model. The record is from RNAcentral. Lineage: Eukaryota; Fungi.